GGCGGCACGCCUAACACAUGCAAGUCGAACGAAGUAGCAAUACUUAGUGGCAGACGGGUGAGUAACAUGUAGGUAUCUGCCCUUUGGCCUGGAAUAACACGAGGAAACUUGUGCUAAUACCGGAUAAGUCUUUACGGAGAAAGCUUUAUGCACCAUUGGAUGAGCCUGCACUUGAUUAGUUUGUUGGUGGGGUAAUGGCCUACCAAGACUGUGAUCAAUAGCUGAUUUGAGAGGAUGAUCAGCCACAUUGGGACUGAGACACGGCCCAAACUCCUACGGGAGGCAGCAGUGGGGAAUCUUGCACAAUGGAGGAAACUCUGAUGCAGCGAUGCCGCGUGAGUGAAGAAGGCCUUUGGGUUGUAAAGCUCUUUCGUCGGGGAAGAAAAUGACUGUACCCGAAUAAGAAGGUCCGGCUAACUUCGUGCCAGCAGCCGCGGUAAUACGAAGGGACCUAGCGUAGUUCGGAAUUACUGGGCUUAAAGAGUUCGUAGGUGGUUGAAAAAGUUAGUGGUGAAAUCCCAGAGCUUAACUCUGGAACUGCCAUUAAAACUUUUCAGCUAGAGUAUGAUAGAGGAAAGCAGAAUUUCUAGUGUAGAGGUGAAAUUCGUAGAUAUUAGAAAGAAUACCAAUUGCGAAGGCAGCUUUCUGGAUCAUUACUGACACUGAGGAACGAAAGCAUGGGUAGCGAAGAGGAUUAGAUACCCUCGUAGUCCAUGCCGUAAACGAUGUGUGUUAGACGUUGGAAAUUUAUUUUCAGUGUCGCAGCGAAAGCGAUAAACACACCGCCUGGGGAGUACGA
This 799-nucleotide ribosomal RNA is filed under the name uncultured Pelagibacteraceae bacterium. RNAcentral describes it as "bacterial SSU rRNA". It matches the Rfam family "Bacterial small subunit ribosomal RNA", at positions 38 to 885 of the family's 1533-position model. The record is from RNAcentral. Lineage: Bacteria; Pseudomonadati; Pseudomonadota; Alphaproteobacteria; Candidatus Pelagibacterales; Candidatus Pelagibacteraceae.